Acinonyx jubatus (cheetah) is the source of this 1333-nucleotide long non-coding RNA. RefSeq lists it as uncharacterized. The transcript is spliced from 6 exons. Lineage: Eukaryota; Metazoa; Chordata; Mammalia; Carnivora; Felidae. The record is from RefSeq and is a predicted model, not a curated record.
UGCCGAGCCCUUCGUUCAGCUGGGGAAGGGUCUGGCAGCUUCCUCCAGAACAGCGAGACGAUUGUUACCAAUAGCCGCCUCACACAGUAAUAGCCGACAGCCAAGCCCCGUUGUGAGCACUCUUAUGUACAACUUUUAAGUCUUCGCUACGGUCCAGAGCUGGGGAUUCUUCUUCCCGUUUCGGAGGGGCUGAUGUUGGAGGAGGAGGCACAGGGAGGGGAGUAACUCGCCCAGAGCUACACAGCUGUCCGAGGUGGGGCCGUGGAUGGAGACGGGCUGUUCUGGAUCCAGCUUCUACUGCCUCUCAUGGUGGGCUCGUGGAUAGGGCCCAGGCCCAGCCCAAGACUGAAAGAGGAGAGUGGAGAUUUCCUAGUGCCUUGUUGACACACACUGGGUGCUCAGUAAAUCAUCGCUGAAGGAAGGGCUGGAGUGUCCUGCGAGCUUCUAAAAAGUAUUUAGCAACGGCAGCUGGAGGUGGACUGAUCUGUGACCCCUGCUCACCUGCGUUCCUGUGGCCCGUGAGAGGUUUGAGCUCAACUGUUAGCACCAGAGAGAAACCUAAACCGACCACCUUCAGCGUCUCUUUGACCUCGUCCUGUUUCAUAUCUCCAGAGCUCCCGUCGUGAUCUCAGGUGCAGCAUCUGGCCCCAGGAGGCAGCAUGCUGGAGCAGAAAAUGUUAAGCAUGUGGAGCCAGACAGAUCUGGGUUUGGAUUCUUGUUUUACUAGUUCCCAGGGAUUCUUGCAUGGUGCACUACCUGUCUGGGCACCUAUGUUUUCACUCCCUGCCUCCCAGCCCUUGUUGGCAAUACCUGGGACUGAAGAACUUGGCUCCAGGAUGUCCAUGAGGGUGUAUUCUACUGGAAUAUCAGGUAGUUCCCAGAACUGUGAGAGAGUCUUCUUUUUCUUCCGUAAAAUUGCAAACUGACGGAAUUUGUUGGCGUUCAGCAGGUGUUUCACAGGUGUCAGGUCUUUGUCUCCGAGCUCUUUGACCAAAUUCUUACUGAUAUUCUCAAACAUGGAGGACAUGUUUCUAGGGACAGAUAGAAGGGGAGUACAGAUUUCAGUGGAGAUGGGGAAGAAAGUGGGUAAGCUGUCACAGAGCUUGAUGUUUUUCCUAAGGGAGAGGACAUAUAUGUGAGAUUAACUUAGGUCUUAGAGUAGUGACUAAAUCAUACUUUCUCAAUUUUGAUAUUCUAAACACAGCCUGGGCUUUGGAGGGAAGCACUGCUGUGAAGUUCAUUGCUCUUUAUGGCUAGAAUAGAAAAGCCUGUGUAUCUCCCCACCCCCAAGCCAAGGGCACCCUCCAGGCCCAGAAAGUGCUCAAUGCUAUCG